This 210-nucleotide long non-coding RNA is filed under the name Nicotiana benthamiana. Its description in RNAcentral is "long non-coding RNA (NBEN_LNC030945)". Lineage: Eukaryota; Viridiplantae; Streptophyta; Magnoliopsida; Solanales; Solanaceae. The record is from RNAcentral.
CUGUAUUGUAUAUUAUUUUCUUGUUAAGAUGUACCUCUAUGUGAUUUUUACCUAUGCCCUUAUUUGUGACUUUAAUUAGUAAUACUUGACUUAUUUCAAACUAUCAGUCUGACUUAGGGAAUUAAUUGAUUCCUACAUGGUAUGAGAAUGAUUUCUUGCCUUAUUUAAGCCCUUAUUUUGUACCGUUAAUUGACUCUUAUUAUUCUAAGG